UGAGUAACCUGCCCUUCACUCUGGGAUAACUCCGGGAAACCGGGGCUAAUACUGGAUAUGACUCGAACAGGCAUCUGUUUUGGGUGGAAAGAUUUAUUGGUGGAGGAUGGACUCGCGGCCUAUCAGCUUGUUGGUGAGGUAAUGGCUCACCAAGGCGACGACGGGUAGCCGGCCUGAGAGGGCGAUCGGCCACACUGGGACUGAGACACGGCCCAGACUCCUACGGGAGCA
This 231-nucleotide ribosomal RNA is filed under the name uncultured bacterium. RNAcentral's name for it is "partial 16S ribosomal RNA". It matches the Rfam family "Bacterial small subunit ribosomal RNA", at positions 118 to 347 of the family's 1533-position model. The record is from RNAcentral.